GUCUGCGGUCAUGCUACCCUGAGUACGCCUGAUCUCGUCUGAUCUCAGAAGCUAAACAGGGUUGGGCCUUUUUAGUUCUUGGAUGGGAGACCACCUAGGAAUACCAGGUGCUGUAGGCU
RNAcentral lists this ribosomal RNA (119 nucleotides) under Pteropus alecto (black flying fox). RNAcentral also lists the same sequence under 1 other name. The record is from RNAcentral. Lineage: Eukaryota; Metazoa; Chordata; Mammalia; Chiroptera; Pteropodidae.